This 496-nucleotide ribosomal RNA is filed under the name uncultured bacterium. RNAcentral describes it as "partial 16S ribosomal RNA". It matches the Rfam family "Bacterial small subunit ribosomal RNA", at positions 29 to 507 of the family's 1533-position model. The record is from RNAcentral.
GUGAACGCUGGCGGCGUGCCUAAUACCUGCAAGUCGAGCGAACGGACGAGAAGCUUGCUUCUCUGAUGUUAGCGGCGGACGGGUGAGUAACACGUGGAUAACCUACCUAUAAGACUGGGAUAACUUCGGGAAACCGUAGCUAAUACCGGAUAAUAUUUUGAACCGCAUGGUUCAAAAGUGAAAGACGGUCUUGCUGUCACUUAUAGAUGGAUCCGCGCUGCGUUAGCUAGUUGGUAAGGUAACGGCUUACCAAGGCAACGAUGCAUAGCCGACCUGAGAGGGGGGUAGGCGACACUGGAACGGAGACACGGACCAGACUCCUACGGGAGGCAGCAGUAGGGAAUCUUCCGCAAUGGGCGAAAGCCUGACGGAGCAACGCCGCGUGAGUGAUGAAGGUCUUCGGAUCGUAAAACUCUGUUAUUAGGGAAGAACAUAUUUGUAAGUAACUGUGCACAUCGUGACGGUACCUAAUCAGAAAGCCACGGCUAACUACGUG